CCUACGGGGGGCUGCAGUGGGGAAUAUUGGACAAUGGGGGGAACCCUGAUCCAGCCAUGCCGCGUGUGUGAAGAAGGCCCUCGGGUUGUAAAGCACUUUCAGUGAGGAAGAACGCCUGGUGGUUAAUACCCAUCAGGAAAGACAUCACUCACAGAAGAAGCACCGGCUAACUCCGUGCCAGCAGCCGCGGUAAUACGGAGGGUGCGAGCGUUAAUCGGAAUUACUGGGCGUAAAGCGCGCGUAGGUGGCUUGAUAAGCCGGUUGUGAAAGCCCCGGGCUCAACCUGGGAACGGCAUCCGGAACUGUCAAGCUAGAGUGCAGGGGAGGAAGGUAGAAUUCCCGGUGUAGCGGUGAAAUGCGUAGAGAUCGGGAGGAAUACCAGUGGCGAAGGCGGCCUUCUGGACUGACACUGACACUGAGGUGCGAAAGCGUGGGUAGCAAACAGGAUUAGAUACCCUUGUAGUC
RNAcentral lists this ribosomal RNA (465 nucleotides) under Vreelandella stevensii. RNAcentral describes it as "partial 16S ribosomal RNA". It matches the Rfam family "Bacterial small subunit ribosomal RNA", at positions 338 to 795 of the family's 1533-position model. The record is from RNAcentral. Lineage: Bacteria; Pseudomonadati; Pseudomonadota; Gammaproteobacteria; Oceanospirillales; Halomonadaceae.